GAUGAACGCUGGCGGCGUGCCUAAUACAUGCAAGUCGAGCGAACAGACGAGGAGCUUGCUCCUUCGACGUUAGCGGCGGACGGGUGAGUAACACGUAGGUAACCUACCUAUAAGACUGGGAUAACUUCGGGAAACCGGAGCUAAUACCGGAUAAUAUUUCGAACCGCAUGGUUCGAUAGUGAAAGAUGGCUUUGCUAUCACUUAUAGAUGGACCUGCGCCGUAUUAGCUAGUUGGUAAGGUAACGGCUUACCAAGGCAACGAUACGUAGCCGACCUGAGAGGGUGAUCGGCCACACUGGAACUGAGACACGGUCCAGACUCCUACGGGAGGCAGCAGUAGGGAAUCUGCCGCAAUGGGCGAAAGCCUGACGGAGCAACGCCGCGUGAGUGAUGAAGGUCUUCGGAUCGUAAAACUCUGUUAUUAGGGAAGAACAAACGUGUAAGUAACUGUGCACGUCUUGACGGUACCUAAUCAGAAAGCCACGGCUAACUACGU
This 496-nucleotide ribosomal RNA is filed under the name uncultured bacterium. Its description in RNAcentral is "partial 16S ribosomal RNA". It matches the Rfam family "Bacterial small subunit ribosomal RNA", at positions 28 to 506 of the family's 1533-position model. The record is from RNAcentral.